CCCGGGCCUUGUACACACCGCCCGUCACACCAUGGAAGCAAGCAACACCCGAAGCCGGUGGCCUAACCCGUAAGGGAGGGAGCCGUCGAAGGUGGGGCUCGUGACUGGGGUG
RNAcentral lists this ribosomal RNA (112 nucleotides) under uncultured bacterium. RNAcentral describes it as "partial 16S ribosomal RNA". It matches the Rfam family "Bacterial small subunit ribosomal RNA", at positions 1373 to 1482 of the family's 1533-position model. The record is from RNAcentral.